This 450-nucleotide ribosomal RNA is filed under the name uncultured bacterium. RNAcentral's name for it is "partial 16S ribosomal RNA". It matches the Rfam family "Bacterial small subunit ribosomal RNA", at positions 354 to 796 of the family's 1533-position model. The record is from RNAcentral.
GUGGGGAAUAUUGGACAAUGGGCGAAAGCCUGAUCCAGCCAUGCCGCGUGUGUGAAGAAGGUCUUCGGAUUGUAAAGCACUUUAAGUUGGGAGGAAGGGCAGUAAGUUAAUACCUUGCUGUUUUGACGUUACCGACAGAAUAAGCACCGGCUAACUUCGUGCCAGCAGCCGCGGUAAUACGAAGGGUGCAAGCGUUAAUCGGAAUUACUGGGCGUAAAGCGCGCGUAGGUGGUUUUGUAAGUUGGAGGUGAAAUCCCCGGGCUCAACCUGGGAACUGCCUCCAAAACUGCAUGACUAGAGUACGGUAGAGGGUAGUGGAAUUUCCUGUGGAGCGGUGAAAUGCGUAGAUAUAGGAAGGAACACCAGUGGCGAAGGCGACUACCUGGACUGAUACUGACACUGAGGUGCGAAAGCGUGGGGAGCAAACAGGAUUAGAAACCCCGGUAGUCC